GCUGGAGUGUGGUGGCACAAUCAUAGCUCACUGCAGCCUUGACCUCCUGGGCCUGAGCCAUCCUCCCACCUCAGCCUCUCGAGUGGAUGGGGCUACAGGUGCACACCACCACGUCCUGAACAAUACUUUCGAAGUAAAAAAAAUCUAUGAAAUAUUUGUAUUCACUUAAAGUGGAAAGACAAUCUGCACACCUGGAGGAGAUAUUUGCAACAUUUACAACUGGCAAAGGUUUAUUACCAAGAAUAUAUAAAGAAGUCUUAUAAAUCAACAAGAAAGAAGAAAAACAACAGAAAGAAAUGGACAAAAGAAAAAGCAUUUUAUAAAAGAAGAAAUGCUCAUGGCCAGCAAACAUAUGGAGAUGUUCAAACUCAUGUGAAAUGUAAAUCAAGACCCAAUAAGAUAAGCUUUUAUGUCCACUAAAAUGGCAAAAUGUUAAUAGCUAGACAAUCCAAGUAUUGGAGAACAUACAGAUCCAUGGGAUCUCUUACAUAUCGCUUAUAAGGGUACGCAUUAGGACAUAGGACACUCACUUAGAAAAAGUGUGGCAUUAUCUUGCAAAAUCAAACACUCACAUAGGCUGCUGUGCAGGUCCUGAGUCUGUUUGCCCUCAGAUCCACUCUUUGCUAUGCCCUUAUGUCCUCAGUUUUCCAGCAGGAUCUCGGCAGCCAUGUCAUCUUGCUUCCAGUUGGGCUCAGUUAAUAAAAGAGAGAGAAUGGAAGGUGGAAAGAAGGGAGAAGCCAAGGUGUUUCUCACCAGCACCCUCCCCUUCUCCUCUCAGGUAACAUCCCCUGUGGUGGCCACAGCUCUCCGAUGGGUCCAGUUCCCACAGGAAAGCCAGCCAUGAUUCUAACUUCUACCAGGUGACCCUGGCCCUGGGCUCUGGUGACACUAACCUUUUGUUUCUCUAGUCCUGGGGAGGGGUAGUAACAGCUUCCUGCUAUUAUUAAUUUAUGGAUUGCCUCAUUGCCUCCUGUGAGGCUUCUCAGCUAUUGAUUACCAUACUACUCAGCAAUAAAAAGGAAAAAACUAUUGAUACAUGCAACAACUUUGUCGGACCACAAGAGAAUUUUACCAACUAAAAAAGCCAGUCUCACAUUGUUACAUACUAUAUGAUUCCACUUACAUAACCUUCUAGAAAUGACAAAAUUAUUGAGGUGAAGAACAGAUUAGUGGUUGCCAAGGGUUAAAGACAGGGUUGGGGUUGGAGAAAGAAAUCAGUGUACCUAAAAAGAAGCAGCCAGAGGGAUCUUUGUGGUGACGGGACAGUUCUGUAUCUUGAUUGUGGUGGUGGUUAUACAAAUCUACGUGUAAUAAAGUUUUAUGUGUGCAUAGAACUAUGUACAUACUCAAACAAAUGCAUGUAACCCUGGUGAAAUCUGAAUAAGGUCUGUGGAUUGUGCCAAUACCAGUGACCUGGUUUUGAUACUGUAUUAUAGCUAUCUAAGACAUUAUUAUCAGGAGAAAAUGGGGGAAAGGUACAUGUACUUUUCUGUACUAUUUUUGCAACUUCUCGUGAAUCUGUUACUAUUUCAAAAUUAAAAGUAUCUGAAAAUCCA
RNAcentral lists this long non-coding RNA (1556 nucleotides) under Homo sapiens (human). RNAcentral's name for it is "HSALNT0330286". The record is from RNAcentral. Lineage: Eukaryota; Metazoa; Chordata; Mammalia; Primates; Hominidae.